This is a non-coding RNA of Aedes albopictus (Asian tiger mosquito), 58 nucleotides long. Lineage: Eukaryota; Metazoa; Arthropoda; Insecta; Diptera; Culicidae. The record is from Rfam.
UAGCCUAGUGAUUAAGGCUAUGGAUCGCCAAUCCGGAGACGGCGGGUUCGAUUCCCGU